This 406-nucleotide ribosomal RNA is filed under the name uncultured bacterium. Its description in RNAcentral is "partial 16S ribosomal RNA". It matches the Rfam family "Bacterial small subunit ribosomal RNA", at positions 30 to 526 of the family's 1533-position model. The record is from RNAcentral.
AUUGAACGCUGGCGGCAGGCUUAACACAUGCAAGUCGAACGAGUGGCGGACGGGUGAGUAAUGUAUGGGAAACUGCCCGAUGGAGGGGGAUAACUACUGGAAACGGUAGCUAAUACCGCAUACUAUCGGAUGUGCCCAGAUCGGAUUAGCUAGUUGGUGGGGUAAAGGCUCACCAAGGCGACGAUCCCUAGCUGGUCUGAGAGGAUGACCAGCCACACUGGAACUGAGACACGGUCCAGACUCCUACGGGAGGCAGCAGUGGGGAAUAUUGCACAAUGGGCGCAAGCCUGAUGCAGUCAUGCCGCGUGUAUGAAGAAGGCCUUCGGGUUGUAAAGUACUUUCAGCGGGGAGGCGUUACCCGCAGAAGAAGCACCGGCUAACUCCGUGCCAGCCGCCGCGGUAAUAC